CUGAUGUGAAAAGUGACGAACCCUAACCUGGCACAUCAAUGAAAUUCAAAAUUAGGUUAUGGGUUGUCAAGACUAUUAAAGCAAGCAGAGCUCUUAAGAUUGAGGAUCCUUAGAGUUGGUCACAAGAAAAUUGUUGGUGUCAUGAAGGAAGGAAGAACGCCAACGUUAAAAAUCAACACCCACUGAUGGGUGUUUGGGCUUUACCGGGUCAAGCUAAUGACGUUAAAGAAGCCCUUGUUGGGAGGCAACCUAAUUUCUAACCUAGUUUCUUAAUUGUUUUUUCUUGUAUUUUGUUUUGAUUUUAUUUUAUUCGAUUUUAUUCGAUUUUAUUUGAUUUUAUUUUUUAUUUAUUUAUUUUUUGGUUAUGCGCUGCUUCUGAUGGCAGUAAUGAUAGCAUCUACUGAGGGAUGCUAAAAGAAUUAGGUAUCUACUGAAGGAUACAAGAAGGUACACCUACUGAAGGGUGACGGUAAGUUUUGCACCUACUAAUGGGUGCUAGAAAGGUUUGGGUCAGGCUCGGGACGUUAAAAAGCGGUACCUGGGAGGCCACCCAGUUUUCUAUACUUAUCUUUUUAAAUUAUGUUAUAUUUGCUUCUGUUUUUAGAAUAGGUAUUGAUGUACUUGGUUGGACACUAUAUCUGAUGCAGUGGUUUGAUAUUAAUUUUGCAUGAUGGGUAUUGCUUGAUGAUGCUUUGAUAUUGAUGAAGUUGAGAUUGCACAAUAUGCUGAUAUACAGGUGGUGGUUCA
This 747-nucleotide long non-coding RNA is filed under the name Vigna radiata. RNAcentral's name for it is "long non-coding RNA (VRAD_LNC013595)". The record is from RNAcentral. Lineage: Eukaryota; Viridiplantae; Streptophyta; Magnoliopsida; Fabales; Fabaceae.